AGGUUUGUUUGGGUUUCUCAAAAACCAAAGCUGUCUUAAGAACACCGAUAUCAGCCUGUCUCUCGCCAUGCGAAAGCACUGGUACAGUACAGGACAGAGAAGUGCUGUCUUGAGAUCAAAAGUUUCCUUUACCUUGUGGAGUGGAUUGGCAUGAAGACUGUGGAUUUGGGCAGUCAAGGCAGGCAAUCACAAAGGAGAAGCUGAAGCCAUGUGAAGUUGAAGGGUGAUGCAGCCCUUCCCUCUAGACUGUAGAAAUCAGGAGCAGGACAAUGUAUUGCCAGCCUUCUGCCUUCGUUAUGCCGUUUUCCCAGUGUUCCAUGCCUUCUGUGCUCCUGGGAAUUGUCUGAAAACUGAAGUUAAUAAGCUGGAUCCAUGCUCUCAAGUGCCUGGCAAACAAAAAAAAAAAACACAUCAAUUUCAGCUCAUUCAUUCUCUCAAGAUCAGGACUGACUGGAUCACUGAAGUAAUGCUUUGACUUCCUAUAAUAGGGAGUUUCACCUAGAGUGAACAGAAUUGAAAAAUACAAGAGAAACUCAAUAGCAGCAGAACUCCUUGUGAUUGAUCUCCUUUGAAUGUUAACAAGCAAAGAACAUGCCAUUAAUAAAAUCCGAAGUAUGAAAAUCUAUCUGUCA
This 632-nucleotide long non-coding RNA is filed under the name Phasianus colchicus (ring-necked pheasant). Its description in RNAcentral is "lncRNA (ENSPCLG00000010441.1)". The record is from RNAcentral. Lineage: Eukaryota; Metazoa; Chordata; Aves; Galliformes; Phasianidae.